CCUUGACAUACUAAGAACUUUCCAGAGAUGGAUUGGUGCCUUCGGGAGCUUAGAUACAGGUGCUGCAUGGCUGUCGUCAGCUCGUGUCGUGAGAUGUUGGGUUAAGUCCGCAACGAGCGCAACCCUUUUCCUUAUUUGCCAGCGGGUAAUGCCGGGAACUUUAAGGAUACUGCCAGUGACAAACUGGAGGAAGGCGGGGACGACGUCAAGUCAUCAUGGCCCUUACGGCCAGGGCUACACACGUGCUACAAUGGUCGGUACAAAGGGUUGCUACCUCGCGAGAGGAUGCUAAUCUCAAAAAGCCGAUCGUAGUCCGGAUCGCAGUCUGCAACUCGACUGCGUGAAGUCGGAAUCGCUAGUAAUCGCGGAUCAGAAUGCCGCGGUGAAUACGUUCCCGGGCCUUGUACACACCGCCCGUCACACCAUGGGAGUUUGUUGCACCAGAAGUAGGUAGUCUAACCGCAAGGAGGACGCUUACCACGGUGUGGCCGAUGACUGGGGUGAAGUCGUAACAAGGUAAGCGUAGAUGA
Molecule: ribosomal RNA, 530 nt
Filed under: uncultured bacterium
Lineage: Bacteria
Description: bacterial SSU rRNA
Rfam family: Bacterial small subunit ribosomal RNA
Source: RNAcentral